UACGUGAGGGGCAAACGUUGUUCGGUGUCACUGGGCUUAAAGGGUGCGUAGGUGGUUACGUAAGUAACGUGUGAAAUCCCCCGGCUUACCCGGGGAAUUGCGCGUUAUACUGCGUGACUUGAGGACUGUAGGGGAAUGGGGAACUCCAGGUGUAGCGGUGAAAUGCGCAGAUAUCUGGGGGAAGGCCGGCGGCGAAGGCGCCAUUCUGGGCAGUUCCUGACACUGAGGCACGAAAGCGUGGGGAGCAAACAGG
Molecule: ribosomal RNA, 253 nt
Filed under: uncultured bacterium
Lineage: Bacteria
Description: partial 16S ribosomal RNA
Rfam family: Bacterial small subunit ribosomal RNA
Source: RNAcentral